AGCUCCUUUAAGUGUAGUCCCGUGAGGCUAAGAAGGAAAUGAGCAAGCAGACGACUCCCGCGUUGGAGCAUCGAAAACUUGCUGGAUGAUUGCGCAUAUUCUGGAUCGCUGUAUACAGCGCCAGAAAGUAUGAUCGGAAAACAUAACUCCUGCCUCACUAGGCAGGAGUUUUUUUAUGU
Molecule: non-coding RNA, 179 nt
Organism: Enterococcus sp. HSIEG1
Lineage: Bacteria; Bacillati; Bacillota; Bacilli; Lactobacillales; Enterococcaceae
Source: Rfam